RNAcentral lists this ribosomal RNA (117 nucleotides) under uncultured Scutellospora. RNAcentral's name for it is "partial 5.8S ribosomal RNA". It matches the Rfam family "5.8S ribosomal RNA", at positions 1 to 119 of the family's 154-position model. Rfam says of the family: 5.8S ribosomal RNA (5.8S rRNA) is a component of the large subunit of the eukaryotic ribosome. The record is from RNAcentral. Lineage: Eukaryota; Fungi; Glomeromycota; Glomeromycetes; Diversisporales; Gigasporaceae.
AAACUUUCAACAACGGAUCUCUUGGCUCUCGCAUCGAUGAAGAACGCAGCGAAAUGCGAUAAGUAAUGUGAAUUGCAGGAUUCCGUGAAUCAUAAAUCUUGAACGCAAAUGCACUCC